Molecule: ribosomal RNA, 447 nt
Filed under: uncultured bacterium
Lineage: Bacteria
Description: partial 16S ribosomal RNA
Rfam family: Bacterial small subunit ribosomal RNA
Source: RNAcentral
AGCGAACGCUGGCGGCAGGCCUAACACAUGCAAGUCGAACGAUUCUUCGGGAUAGUGGCGGACGGGUGAGUAACACGUGGGAACGUGCCUUUUGGUUCGGAACAACUCAGGGAAACUUGAGCUAAUACCGGAUGUGCCCUUCGGGGGAAAGAUUUAUCGCCAUUAGAGCGGCCCGCGUCUGAUUAGCUAGUUGGUGGGGUAAAGGCCUACCAAGGCGGCGAUCAGUAGCUGGUCUGAGAGGAUGAUCAGCCACAUUGGGACUGAGACACGGCCCAAACUCCUACGGGAGGCAGCAGUGGGGAAUCUUGCGCAAUGGGCGAAAGCCUGACGCAGCCAUGCCGCGUGAAUGAUGAAGGUCUUAGGAUUGUAAAAUUCUUUCACCGGGGACGAUAAUGACGGUACCCGGAGAAGAAGCCCCGGCUAACUUCGUGCCAGCCGCCGCGGUAA